GAAAAAGCAGAAUAACUGAUGAAAAGGAGAAAAAAAACAGGACACAACAACAAGUCCUCUGCCUCGAUUCUACGACAUGCAAAGACAAUACUGAAAAAUUACUUUGGCAAACUACCAUGCUGUGGUUACCUCUUCAUAACUUUACGCAUGGCGACCAGGGAAGAAAAGCAGACCCAAUUCAUCCAAUGCUCCAGCCAUAUUGAAACAUUUAAGCGUUCUGUAUUAAACACUAUUUG
Molecule: long non-coding RNA, 236 nt
Organism: Micropterus dolomieu (smallmouth bass)
Lineage: Eukaryota; Metazoa; Chordata; Actinopteri; Centrarchiformes; Centrarchidae
Exons: 3
Source: RefSeq, a predicted model, not a curated record